GACGAACGCUGGCGGCGUGCCUAAUACAUGCAAGUAGAACGCACAGUUUAUACCGUAGCUUGCUACACCAUAGACUGUGAGUUGCGAACGGGUGAGUAACGCGUAGGUAACCUGCCUGGUAGCGGGGGAUAACUAUUGGAAACGAUAGCUAAUACCGCAUAAUAUUAAUUAUUGCAUGAUAAUUAAUUGAAAGGUGCAAUUGCACCACUACCAGAUGGACCUGCGUUGUAUUAGCUAGUAGGUGAGGUAACGGCUCACCUAGGCGACGAUACAUAGCCGACCUGAGAGGGUGAUCGGCCACACUGGGACUGAGACACGGCCCAGACUCCUACGGGAGGCAGCAGUAGGGAAUCUUCGGCAAUGGACGAAAGUCUGACCGAGCAACGCCGCGUGAGUGAAGAAGGUUUUCGGAUCGUAAAGCUCGGUUGUAAGAGAAGAACGGGUGUGAGAGUGGAAAGUUCACACUGUGACGGUAUCUUACCAGAAAGGGGCGGCUAACUACGUG
This 505-nucleotide ribosomal RNA is filed under the name uncultured bacterium. RNAcentral describes it as "partial 16S ribosomal RNA". It matches the Rfam family "Bacterial small subunit ribosomal RNA", at positions 28 to 507 of the family's 1533-position model. The record is from RNAcentral.